RNAcentral lists this ribosomal RNA (253 nucleotides) under uncultured bacterium. RNAcentral's name for it is "partial 16S ribosomal RNA". It matches the Rfam family "Bacterial small subunit ribosomal RNA", at positions 524 to 776 of the family's 1533-position model. The record is from RNAcentral.
UACGGAAGGGGCAAGCGUUGUUCGGAAUCAUUGGGCGUAAAGGGCGUGUAGGUGGUUCUGUAUGUCUACCGUGAAAGCGUACGGCUCAACCGUAUUUAGUCGGUAGAAACUGCAGGACUUGAGGCUGGGAGGGGCUGGUGGAAUUCCCCGUGUAGCGGUGAAAUGCGUAGAGAUGGGGGAGAACACUCGUGGCGAAGGCGGCCAGCUAGACCAGUUCUGACACUAAGGCGCGAUAGCGUGGGGAGCAAACAGG